RNAcentral lists this ribosomal RNA (450 nucleotides) under uncultured bacterium. Its description in RNAcentral is "bacterial SSU rRNA". It matches the Rfam family "Bacterial small subunit ribosomal RNA", at positions 99 to 514 of the family's 1533-position model. The record is from RNAcentral.
GGAACGGGUGAAAAAAACAGGGGAACGUGCCCAGUAAUGGGGGAUAACCCACGGAGAGGUAGCAUAACCCCCACUCGGAUUUGCGGAUGAACUCGGGGGAGGCUCCAUUACACAUUUUGGCCAGAGUACAGUCGAAGGCGAUCCACGAGUUGGCGUGCUCCACCUAGCGUUAUUGGACCGACGGAUGAUUGAUUACAUAGCGGGUAAGUUGAUGGAUGACCAAGGUGACGAUCUNUAGAUGGUGUAAGAGGACGGCCAGCCACACUGGAACUGAGACACGGUCCAGAGUCUUACGGGAGGCAUCAGUGGGGAAUUUCGCCCAAUGGGGGAAACCCUGACGCAGUAACGCCGCGUGGAGGAUGAAGCCCUUUGGGGCGUAAAUCUCCUUUCGACCAAGACGAUAAUGAUCGGUAUUGGUGGAAGAAGCCCCGCCUCACUCUGUGCCCCCAC